CUUGUUUUGGUUUGUUCGCUUCCUGUUUAGACAUUGGCUUAUGUGCGAGGGUAUAGCUUAAUUUGAGCCAGGUGUCCAUGUUUAGCUUGAUUAUGUUGAUUAUUUAAACCCCUCGGUGACUGCACACUUUGCGCAGUCUUAUACUUUGUACCAAAUGUCUGACGAUAGUGAACGCAUUAGCAUGCUAAGCGGUCUUAGUGUCAUGUUUGAAGCCAGAUUUGGCUAGACCGUGUUUCCUUGUGUUUGGUUGCUUGCUUGGUUUAUCAAUAAAGACUUUGCUCUACACCUGCAUCCGCUUCCAGUCCCGUUCCGUGACAUAAUACUGCGCCCCGAGCAUGGAAGCAGCAGAUCAACGUGAGCACCGAGUUCGAGAAGUUGGGCCGAUCGUUCUGGGAAGAGAGUAAGCGUAUCGACAAAAGACUUGCCCAGAUCGAUCGCCAGCUAAUGCAACGAGGGCUGCUGCAGCAAGCCGGCCCAUGCGCCAUAUCGCCACCCGCGCAAUUUCCCACGUCCCGGCUGCCGGAGAGUUAUGCCGUGCCGCGUGGGUAACAGAGCUACUCGAACUCCUGGAGCUUCCCACUUUAGGGGAAUUAUACUACGCCAUGCAGCCAGUAAAGAUACCCGUCCUCCUGGAGCCUCCCACUGCAGGGGAAUUGCACCACGCUGCCCAGCCCAGAACCGAAGGCUAGCCUAGAACUUAUUUUGGGUGGGGGUCAAUGACGACAGCAGAGCUCCAGCGUGAGGCCUAUGGGGAGGCCUCAGCUGUGGAGCUCCCGCCUGAGGUCAACAUGGCAACCUCAGAGCUACAGCUUGAGGCCUACGGGGAGGUCUCUGCUGUGUAGCUCCUGCACGUCAAAGAAGCUGUCCCGCCGCCCUGCCCUAAGAUCGUGCUCGUUCAUUCAGAUUCCUGUCAUUUAGAGAGUCUUGUGCUGGCCGUGUGCGGAUCUUGCGAUCGCAAAACUCUUGGCCUCUAGACAGAGGACAGGAGUGAAACCCUGCAGCAUCACCAGCUCCCUUGUGGAAACACUGAAGACCUCUACACUAGAAGUGUGCACCGGAACGAAGAUCUUGC
Ictalurus punctatus (channel catfish) is the source of this 1072-nucleotide long non-coding RNA. The record is from Ensembl. NCBI's taxonomy places the organism in Eukaryota, Metazoa, Chordata, Actinopteri, Siluriformes, Ictaluridae.